CCUACGGGUGGCAGCAGUGAGGAAUAUUGGUCAAUGGACGAGAGUCUGAACCAGCCAAGUAGCGUGCAGGAUGACUGCCCUAUGGGUUGUAAACUUCUUUUAUAAGGGGAUAAAACGAGGCACGUGUGCCUUUUUGCAUGUACCUUAUGAAUAAGGAUCGGCUAACUCCGUGCCAGCAGCCGCGGUAAUACGGAGGAUCCGAGCGUUAUCCGGAUUUAUUGGGUUUAAAGGGAGCGUAGGUGGGUUGUUAAGUCAGUGGUGAAAUUCUGCGGCUCAACCGUGAAAUUGCAAUUGAUACUGGCAGGCUUGAGUGUAGUUGAGGUAGGCGGAAUUCGUGGUGUAGCGGUGAAAUGCUUAGAUAUCACGAAGAACCCCGAUUGCGAAGGCAGCUUACGAAACUGCUACUGACGUUGAUGCUCGAAAGUGUGGGUAUCAAACAGGAUUAGAUACCCUUGUAGUC
This 460-nucleotide ribosomal RNA is filed under the name uncultured bacterium. RNAcentral describes it as "partial 16S ribosomal RNA". It matches the Rfam family "Bacterial small subunit ribosomal RNA", at positions 338 to 795 of the family's 1533-position model. The record is from RNAcentral.